RNAcentral lists this ribosomal RNA (253 nucleotides) under uncultured bacterium. Its description in RNAcentral is "partial 16S ribosomal RNA". It matches the Rfam family "Bacterial small subunit ribosomal RNA", at positions 524 to 776 of the family's 1533-position model. The record is from RNAcentral.
UACGUAGGGGGCAAGCGUUGUCCGGAUUUAUUGGGCGUAAAGAGCUCGUAGGCGGUUUGUCGCGUCUGCCGUGAAAGUCCGGGGCUUAACUUCGGAAAGGCAGUGGAAACUGAACAGCUAGAGUAUGGUAGGGGCAGAGGGAAUUCCUGGUGUAGCGGUGAAAUGCGUAGAGAUCAGGAAGAACAUCGGUGGCGAAGGCGCUCUGCUGGACCAUAACUGACACUCAGGGACGAAAGCUAGGGGAGCGAAUGGG